RNAcentral lists this ribosomal RNA (200 nucleotides) under uncultured bacterium. RNAcentral describes it as "partial 16S ribosomal RNA". It matches the Rfam family "Bacterial small subunit ribosomal RNA", at positions 8 to 211 of the family's 1533-position model. The record is from RNAcentral.
AGAGUUUGAUCAUGGCUCAGAUUGAACGCUGGCGGCGUGCCUAACACAUGCAAGUCGAGCGGCAGCGCGGGAGCAAUCCUGGCGGCGAGCGGCGGACGGGUGAGCAAUGCUUGGGAAUCUGCCUAUCAGUGGGGGACAACCCGGGGAAACUCGGGCUAAUACCGCAUACGUUCUUCGGAAGAAAGCAGGGGAUCGCAAGA